GUCAUAUGCUUGUCUCAAAGAUUAAGCCAUGCAUGUCUCAGUGCAAGCCGUCCUGUACGGUGAAACCGCGAAAGGCUCAUUAAAUCAGUUAUGGUUCCUUAGAUAGUACCCACGUUACUUGGAUAACUGUGGUAAUUCUAGAGCUAAUACAUGCCGACAGAGUUCCGACCAGCGUCGCGGCGGCUUGCCGUUCGCGACGUUCGGAAGGAGCGCUUUUAUUAGAUCAAAAUCGGCCAAGCGCAACGUUCGCGUAGCGUUAGUGGCCCGCGCAAAGACUUGACGACUCUGAAUAACUUCGAGCUGAUCGCACGGUCUCGCACCGGCGACGUAUCUUUCAAAUGUCUGCCUUAUCAACUGUCGACGGUACGUUCGAUGCUUACCGUGGUGGUAACGGGUAACGGGGAAUCAGGGUUCGAUUCCGGAGAGGGAGCCUGAGAAACGGCUACCACAUCCAAGGAAGGCAGCAGGCGCGCAAAUUACCCACUCCCAGCUCGGGGAGGUAGUGACGAAAAAUAACGAUACGGGACUCAUCCGAGGCCCCGUAAUCGGA
This 550-nucleotide ribosomal RNA is filed under the name Aspidiotus nerii (oleander scale). Its description in RNAcentral is "SSU rRNA". It matches the Rfam family "Eukaryotic small subunit ribosomal RNA", at positions 23 to 513 of the family's 1831-position model. The record is from RNAcentral. Lineage: Eukaryota; Metazoa; Arthropoda; Insecta; Hemiptera; Diaspididae.